AGAUGGUGGCUGUAGCCUCUGCUUUGUUUACCCAAGACUCAGACAAGUCAGAAUAUAACUGAAGAACGAAUAGGUGUACCCAUCAGGAAAAUUAUUUGCAUAAAAGACCAAGUCUUUACAGAGGAGCAAAAGGCAGAGAGGAGAUUCCCCAUAGUCGGAGAAAACUGGACUAAAGAAGAAUCACUCUACGUAAGCGAAUCUGUGGUCUUCUCUCUCACUCAGAGACCUCAGGGGAGCAUGAGAAAUGAGUCAGUCUCUCUGAGGACCCACCAAGCUGCCAGAGCUAAACAAGAGUCUUGUUUGAACUCUGAAGGGGAGAAGGGACAGAAGGCAUGGAUGAGAACACAGCUGCAGUUGACUUCCGUGAAACCAUCUGGAGAGCAUGGCCCAAGAAAGAGAAAAGGGCACGGGGACCAAAUUAAGAAUGUUCUUAGUUAAUUUUCUAAAGAAUGAGUCCACUGAAAAACCACCCACUCCUGGGUUCCUGAUAAUGCAAACUUCAUUCAUUUGUUUAUUCAUUCAACAAAUGGAGUAGCUCCGACCAAUAUUAUGGAUUGGCUUGGAAAAUACCUCUGGCUUCUUGGCAGAGAAUCAAGCAAGAAACUUACAUGUGAUUUUGGUCUAUUCUAAAUAACUUCUCUAGGUUACAUACUUACACGCUGAUGGUUCACACAUAAGGAGGACAAAAGGAAUGCUACCAAAACAAAAAUCACCCCUCAAAAUUAUUUAAAAGGCAGAAGAUUUUAAAUUGAAGAAAUAUCUUUAGCAUCAAGUCAGGGUAUGAAUGUACCAGAAAGGCUUUGUUUUAGCAAAUUUACUUCCCAAAGGGCAGAAUAAUAUAUAUGAAAUGAAAAAUGCACAGGCCUUUUGUUCUUUAAUGACCUUGGGGGAAUAUUCUAAUUUAUCAGGAAUCUGCCAAGAAAACAGUUUACCUCUUCAGUUGUCUCAUUUUGUGUUUCUGAAUUUUUUUUUUUUUUUUUUUUUUAGCCAGGGUCUCAAUCUGUUGUCCAGGAUGGAGUGCAGUGGUGCAAUCAUGGCUCACUGUAGCCUCGACCUCCUGGGAUCAAGUGAUCCUCCCACUAUCAGCCUCCUGAGUUGCUGGGACUACAGCUAUGUGCCACCAUACCCAGCAAAUUUUUGUAUUUUUUGUAGAGACGAGGUCUCACCAUGUUGCCCAGGCUGGUCUUGAACUCCUGAGCUCAAGUAAUUUGCCCAUUUCAGCCUCUCAAAGUCUGGGAUUAUAGGUGUGAGCCACUGUGCCCUGCCCAUGUUUCUGAAUUUUUAAUACAUUUUAUUAAUUCUUGCUGAUCUGUGAAACACUAAGAAAAGUAAAUUGUUUUAUAAUUUUGUCUCUUAAUAUCCUCCAAAAAAUUAAUUCUAUUGCUUUUUCUUUGCAUACUUCUUGGAUACUAUUUUCCUCCCUUUGUGUCAGUGACUUAUCACAGGAAGAAAAAAAAAAUGUUCCCCAUCCAUUCCUUACUUGGUAUCUAUAGGGCUGUAAGCGAAGACAUUGGCUUUAUCUACAAACUGCUGCAGUCAGAUUGUUAUGGAAAUAGGAAUUAAUUAUUGUAGAAGCAGUAUAAUGAUCUUCUUUGGAAUCAGAGAAUUAAAACCAGGAUUCAAAGCAAUACCCGUAAGGGAAAGUGGUUGGGGUUUAUAUCGGAAUCAUGGGGGUAUAUUAUAUUAAGGUUAAAGAGGGAGGAUGAGAUGGAAAGACAGAAAAUCUCGCCACAGCAUGUGGAAGUUUCUCCUUAGGAGAGCCUUGUGGCUCAUUGUGCCUGUCAAGUAGGCUAAUGUGCCUGUAAAUUUCCUCUGACAGAAAACACAUCACAGCAGCAGCACCAGAAAACAACACAACCAAACUGUGGAAGACUGAAAACCCAGUGCUUUCAAGGGUGAUCAGAAUAUGCCAGAGUAAAAAACAAAAACAAAAACCAAAAAAAAAGCAAGGCAUUGAAAAUAAACAAAAGCUAGGGAGAAAUGAGAUCACCUUCCAAGAAAUAAGCAUUUAUCAUUCAUUCAUAGGCGAAAGGAAAUGCUUCUCCCACAGUCAUUUUUUAAUGUAUUAUUGGGCAGUCUCAGUUCAAGGUCAAAAAUGUCAGAGGGCAAAAGGAAUAGGACUCAAGAUUUAAUGCUGUAUUUAUCAUAACUGGCUUUGUAAUUGCAUAAAUAUUAAAUAUGUAGAACUAAUUGCAAGCACAUUAUCUCCAUAUCUCCACACAUUGCUUUAAUUUUUAAUGUAAUCUUUUAUCUGCCUUUUCCUCAGCUGGCUGUGGGUUUGUAAUUUGCAUAGCUAGAAUGAUCCGGUGCCAUCAAUUUAGUAAUGAAGUCACUCAUUGAGCAGAAGAGUUUUCUAAAGAUUAUACAAAGCUGUAGGAAAGAAAAGAACAGAAAUGAAAUUUUAUGUUUCAAAUAAAUGGGAAGUUUAUUUUAGAACAUAUUUUCCAUUGUAAAUUUAAUGCAACCACUUCAUAACAAAUUUGGAAAACAGAGAAGAUUGGGAAAAAGCACCCAUAUUUCAUCAUCCUAACUUAUCAGUGUUUUGUGGUCUUUUAUACCUAGGCACAUAUAUUUUUAACAUCGAUGUAAUCAUAAUUAUGUGUGUGUAUAUGUGUGUAAUUUUACAUCCUAUUUUUUGUAUUAUUACUAUGGUUUUCAUAACUAUAACUUUUAUGACUAUAAAAUACUAAUAAAAAGAGGUGUCUAUAAUUUUCUCACUUACUAAAUUUCUUGUGGCUAGCCGAGCAGAGGGGUGGAAUCAGAUGGAUUAAAUUUCAGCUCUGCUAUUGAACUGUGUGGAUUUGGGCAAGUUAGUAAAAAGCUGGGCGUUAGUCUUCUCAUCUACAAAAUGAGGAUAGUGAUA
Molecule: long non-coding RNA, 2863 nt
Filed under: Homo sapiens (human)
Lineage: Eukaryota; Metazoa; Chordata; Mammalia; Primates; Hominidae
Description: HSALNT0092712
Source: RNAcentral